UGGGAAUAUUGGACAAUGGGCGCAAGCCUGAUCCAGCCAUGCCGCGUGAGUGAUGAAGGCCCUAGGGUUGUAAAGCUCUUUCAGCGAGGAGGAUAAUGACGUUACUCGCAGAAGAAGCCCCGGCUAACUUCGUGCCAGCAGCCGCGGUAAUACGAAGGGGGCUAGCGUUGUUCGGAAUCACUGGGCGUAAAGCGCACGUAGGCGGACUUUUAAGUCAGGGUGAAAUCCCGGGGCUCAACCUCGGAACUGCCUUUGAUACUGGAAGUCUGGAGUCCGAGAGAGGUGAGUGGAACUCCGAGUGUAGAGGUGAAACUCGUAGAUAUUCGGAAGAACACCAGUGGCGAAGGCGGCUCACUGGCUCGGUACUGACGCUGAGGUGCGAAAGCGUGGGGAGCAAACAGAUUAGAUACCCUGGUAGUCCACGCCGUAAACGAUGGAAGCUAGCCGUCAGGGUGCAUGCAUCUUGGUGGCGCAGUUAACGCAUUAAGCUUCCCGCCUGGGAAGUACGGUCGCAAGAUU
RNAcentral lists this ribosomal RNA (519 nucleotides) under uncultured bacterium. RNAcentral describes it as "partial 16S ribosomal RNA". It matches the Rfam family "Bacterial small subunit ribosomal RNA", at positions 356 to 895 of the family's 1533-position model. The record is from RNAcentral.